UUCUAUCUAUUAAAAAUCCGAAAUAAAAACGCACCUCGAGGAAUAUUUUACAAAUAAAUCUUAAUAAUUUUGGAAAAAGGGAAUAAUGAGGUUUUCUGAGAGAUGGAAGAAGGUGAUAGAGCAGAACGAUUCAUAUACAACGCAAUAAAUUAAACCUUAAACAAUAAAUAUCGUGUAUUCACUUCGUA
Long non-coding RNA from Apis dorsata (giant honeybee), 188 nucleotides. RefSeq lists it as uncharacterized. Lineage: Eukaryota; Metazoa; Arthropoda; Insecta; Hymenoptera; Apidae. The transcript has 3 exons. The record is from RefSeq and is a predicted model, not a curated record.